AAACUAACAAGGAUUCCCCUAGUAGCGGCGAGCGAAGCGGGAAGAGCUCAAAUUUAUAAUCUGGCACUUUCAGUGUCCGAGUUGUAAUCUCUAGAAGUGUUUUCCGCGUUGGACCGCACACAAGUCUGUUGGAAUACAGCGGCACAGUGGUGACACCCCCGUACACGGUGCGGACGCCCAGCGCUUUGUGAUACACUUUCGAAGAGUCGAGUUGUUUGGGAAUGCAGCUCAAAUUGGGUGGUAAAUUCCAUCUAAAGCUAAAUAUUGGCGAGAGACCGAUAGCGAACAAGUACCGUGAGGGAAAGAUGAAAAGCACUUUGGAAAGAGAGUUAACAGUACGUGAAAUUGUUGGAAGGGAAACGCUUGAAGUCAGACUUGCUUGCCGGAGCUUGCUUCGGUUUGCAGGCCAGCAUCAGUUUUCCGGGGUGGAUAAUGGCGGUUAGAAGGUAGCAGCUUCAGCUGUGUUAUAGCUUUCCGCUGGAUACAUCCUGGGGGACUGAGGAACGCAGCGUGCUUUUAGCGGGGGUUUCGACCUCUUCACGCUUAGGAUGCUGGUGUAAUGGCUUUAAACGAC
RNAcentral lists this ribosomal RNA (574 nucleotides) under Rhodotorula paludigena. RNAcentral's name for it is "eukaryotic LSU rRNA". It matches the Rfam family "Eukaryotic large subunit ribosomal RNA", at positions 62 to 648 of the family's 3401-position model. The record is from RNAcentral. RNAcentral also lists the same sequence under 1 other name. Lineage: Eukaryota; Fungi; Basidiomycota; Microbotryomycetes; Sporidiobolales; Sporidiobolaceae.